Molecule: ribosomal RNA, 406 nt
Filed under: uncultured bacterium
Lineage: Bacteria
Description: partial 16S ribosomal RNA
Rfam family: Bacterial small subunit ribosomal RNA
Source: RNAcentral
AUUGAACGCUGGCGGCAGGCCUAACACAUGCAAGUCGAACGAGUGGCGGACGGGUGAGUAAUGUCUGGGAAACUGCCCGAUGGAGGGGGAUAACUACUGGAAACGGUAGCUAAUACCGCAUACCAUCGGAUGUGCCCAGAUGGGAUUAGCUAGUAGGUGGGGUAACGGCUCACCUAGGCGACGAUCCCUCGCUGGUCUGAGAGGUUGACCAGCCACACGGGAACGGAUACACUGUCCAGACUCCUACGGGAGGCAGCGUUUGGGAAUAUUGCACAAGGGGCGCAAGCCUGAUGCAGCCAUGCCGCGUGGAUGAAGAAGGCCUUCGGGUUGUAAAGUACUUUCAGCGAGGAGGCGUUACUCGCAGAAGAAGCACCGGCUAACUCCGUGCCAGCAGCCGCGGUAAUAC